CCUACGGGUGGCAGCAGUGGGGAAUAUUGGGCAAUGGGCGCAAGCCUGACCCAGCACCGCCGCGUGCAGGAAGAAGGCUUUCGGGUUGUAAACUUCUUUUCUCAGGGACGAAGAGAGUGCCGGUACCUGAGGAAUAAGCCACGGCUAACUACGUGCCAACAGCCGCGGUAAUCCGUAGGUGGCAAGCGUUUUCCGGAUUUAUGAGGUGUAAAGGGCGUGUAGGCGGGAGCGCAAGUCAGAAGUGAAAACUCAGGGCUCAACCCUGGUCCGGCAUUUGAAACUGUGUUUCUGGAGUGCUGGAGAGGCAAUCGGAAUGCCGGGUGUAGCGGUGAAAUGCGUAGAUAUACGGAGGAACACCAGUGGCGAAGGCGGAUUGCUGGACAGUAACUGACGCUGAGGCGCGAAAGCGUGGGGAGCAAACAGGAUUAGAUACCCGUGUAGUC
RNAcentral lists this ribosomal RNA (443 nucleotides) under uncultured bacterium. Its description in RNAcentral is "partial 16S ribosomal RNA". It matches the Rfam family "Bacterial small subunit ribosomal RNA", at positions 338 to 795 of the family's 1533-position model. The record is from RNAcentral.